RNAcentral lists this ribosomal RNA (494 nucleotides) under uncultured bacterium. Its description in RNAcentral is "partial 16S ribosomal RNA". It matches the Rfam family "Bacterial small subunit ribosomal RNA", at positions 30 to 507 of the family's 1533-position model. The record is from RNAcentral.
AUUGAACGCUGGCGGCAUGCUUUACACAUGCAAGUCGAACGGCAGCGGGGAGGAGCUUGCUUCUCUGCCGGCGAGUGGCGAACGGGUGAGUAAUACAUCGGAACGUGUCGAGAAGAGGGGGAUAACCACCCGAAAGGGUGGCUAAUACCGCAUAAAUUCUGAGGAAGAAAGCUGGGGACCUAGGAAUAGGCCUAGCGCUUUUUGAGCGGCCGAUGUCGGAUUAGCUAGUUGGUGAGGUAAAGGCUCACCAAGGCGAAGAUCUGUAGCGGGUCUGAGAGGAUGAUCCGCCACACUGGGACUGAGACACGGCCCAGACUCCUACGGGAGGCAGCAGUGGGGAAUUUUGGACAAUGGGGGCAACCCUGAUCCAACCAUGCCGCGUGUAUGAAGAAGGCCUUAGGGUUGUAAAGUACUUUUGUUAGGGAAGAAAAGUAAGCUGUGAAUAAUGGCUGAUACUGACGGUACCUAAAGAAUAAGCACCGGCUAACUACGUG